CAGGACAAGGGAAGGCAGGAAUUUCCAUUGUAUUUCUAUGUUAAAGGCUCAAGGAGGAACCUUUGAAUGAACUACCAGAGGAGGUAGUUGU
This is a long non-coding RNA of Amblyraja radiata (thorny skate), 91 nucleotides long. RefSeq lists it as uncharacterized. The transcript is spliced from 3 exons. NCBI's taxonomy places the organism in Eukaryota, Metazoa, Chordata, Chondrichthyes, Rajiformes, Rajidae. The record is from RefSeq and is a predicted model, not a curated record.